CACCGCGGUUAUACGAGAGGCUCAAGUUGAUAGCUAUCGGCGUAAAAUGUGGUUAUCAUAAAAUUGCACUAAAGCUAAACAUCUUCAAAGCUGUUAUACCCAUAUGAAGACAGGAAACACCCCUACGAAAGUGACUUUAAACAAUGCUCUCCACGAAAGCUAGGAGA
This 167-nucleotide ribosomal RNA is filed under the name Luciogobius parvulus. Its description in RNAcentral is "partial 12S rRNA". Lineage: Eukaryota; Metazoa; Chordata; Actinopteri; Gobiiformes; Gobiidae. The record is from RNAcentral.